AGAGUUUGAUCCUGGCUCAGGAUGAACGCUGGCGGCGUGCUUAACACAUGCAAGUCGAACGAACCUUCGGGUUAGUGGCGGACGGGUGAGUAACGCGUGAGAAUCUGCCCUCAGGAGGGGGAUAACGGCUGGAAACGGCCGCUAAUACCCCAUAUGCCGAGAGGUGAAAUGAAUUUCGCCUGAGGAUGAGCUCGCGUCUGAUUAGCUAGUUGGUGUGGUAAAGGCUCACCAAGGCAUCGAUCAGUAGCUGGUCUGAGAGGGUGAUCAGCCACACUGGGACUGAGACACGGCCCAGACUCCUACGGGAGGCAGCAGUGGGGAAUUUUCCGCAAUGGGCGCAAGCCUGACGGAGCAACGCCGCGUGAGGGAUGAAGGCCUCUGGGCUGUAAACCUCUUUUAUCAAGGAAGAAGAUCUGACGGUACUUGAUGAAUAAGCCACGGCUAAUUCCGUGCCAGCAGCCGCGGUAAUACGGGAGUGGCAAGCGUUAUCCGGAAUUAUUGGGCGUAAAGCGUCCGCAGGCGGUCUUGAAAGUCUGUUGUUAAAGCGUGGAGCUCAACUCCAUUUCAGCAAUGGAAACUAGAAGACUAGAGUGUGGUAGGGGCAGGGGGAAUUCCCGGUGUAGCGGUGAAAUGCGUAGAUAUCGGGAAGAACACCAGUGGCGAAGGCGCUCUGCUGGGCCAUAACUGACGCUCAUGGACGAAAGCCAGGGGAGCGAAAGGGAUUAGAUACCCCUGUAGUCCUGGCCGUAAACGAUGAACACUAGGUGUCGGGGGAAUCGACCCCCUCGGUGUCGUAGCCAACGCGUUAAGUGUUCCGCCUGGGGAGUACGCACGCAAGUGUGAAACUCAAAGGAAUUGACGGGGGCCCGCACAAGCGGUGGAGUAUGUGGUUUAAUUCGAUACAACGCGAAGAACCUUACCAGGGUUUGACAUCCUGCGAAUCCCUUGGAAACUUGGGAGUGCCUUCGGGAGCGCAGUGACAGGUGGUGCAUGGCUGUCGUCAGCUCGUGUCGUGAGAUGUUGGGUUAAGUCCCGCAACGAGCGCAACCCACGUCUUUAGUUGCCAGCAUUAAGUUGGGCACUCUAGAGAGACUGCCGGUGAUAAACCGGAGGAAGGUGUGGACGACGUCAAGUCAUCAUGCCCCUUACAUCCUGGGCUACACACGUACUACAAUGCUACGGACAAAGGGCAGCAAACUCGCGAGAGCUAGCAAAUCCCAUAAACCGUGGCUCAGUUCAGAUCGUAGGCUGCAACUCGCCUACGUGAAGGAGGAAUCGCUAGUAAUCGCAGGUCAGCAUACUGCGGUGAGUACGUUCCCGGGCCUUGUACACACCGCCCGUCACACCAUGGGAGUUGGUUGCACCAGAAGUAGAUAGCCUAACCUUCGGGAGGGCGUUUACCA
Molecule: ribosomal RNA, 1403 nt
Filed under: metagenome
Description: bacterial SSU rRNA
Rfam family: Bacterial small subunit ribosomal RNA
Source: RNAcentral